UUUUGCCCUAGGAAUAGUCUGGUAUUUUAUUAACAUUAUCUCUUUACUUGCACCUACUAUCUGUUCUGUAGUACUCAUCAGCAGAAAGUGCGAACUUUAUACCUAUCUCAGCUUUCAAGUGUCCAUAGGAGCAUUGCCUUUGGUAUAAGAGCUUCCUGGGGCUGGGAAGUAGAUGCUUGGUGCUGCUUCCUUGGGUUACUGGACCACUACCUGGAUGUACUCUUCAGCGUGUUGUACCAUUUCCAUGUUGGAAACUGGCUUCUGCCAAGUAGGCUGGCUUCUCUCUAGAAACAGAAGCAGAGCUGGAGAGUUUGUACCAGCUGGACCAGGAAGGCUGGAGUCAGAGCAAGUGGGACCUUGCAGGGAACAAGCAUGGAAAUGAAUGAGCAUGGGAGUCUUGUGCGUUAGGAUCUGCAACAGCUGGGUCAGGUCACCACAAGUUGGGUAGGCUCAUUAGAUUCACUCAUAUAAUACCAUUAAUCAUUGUACCAUAUAAUCAUUGUUUCAAUGAUGAUUUUAAAAUUAUUUCCUCAUAAACAGUGGGUG
This 546-nucleotide long non-coding RNA is filed under the name Numida meleagris (helmeted guineafowl). Its description in RNAcentral is "lncRNA (ENSNMEG00000012848.1)". The record is from RNAcentral. Lineage: Eukaryota; Metazoa; Chordata; Aves; Galliformes; Numididae.